Long non-coding RNA from Anarrhichthys ocellatus (wolf-eel), 298 nucleotides. RefSeq lists it as uncharacterized. NCBI's taxonomy places the organism in Eukaryota, Metazoa, Chordata, Actinopteri, Perciformes, Anarhichadidae. The record is from RefSeq and is a predicted model, not a curated record. The transcript has 2 exons.
UUCGGGGAGAGCGUUAGGGUAGCGAGUAGGUCCGCUUUUAUCCCCAAUGAUUUAAUCAUGUGAGGGAUCAAAGAAGCCGGUUUUUGUUUUCAACAUGAAGUCGGGAUUUCUGGGGAGAUUGACACCGAGGAGCCGAGCCGGGUGCUGACUGGGAGAGGAAUGCACAGAGGAGGUUUGCAGUUGAAGAUCAACAUGUGCUGUCCGACACUGACGAACUCAAAGCAGCUCUUGUAGCUGGGGGAGGAUUGCUUGCCCUAACUCCUCCUCCUCUACCCGGCCCCCUUCCCGGGAUCGAUGA